Small nucleolar RNA from Albugo candida, 219 nucleotides. It matches the Rfam family "Small nucleolar RNA U3". Rfam says of the family: Small nucleolar RNAs (snoRNAs) are involved in the processing and modification of rRNA in the nucleolus. There are two main classes of snoRNAs: the box C/D class, and the box H/ACA class. U3 snoRNA is a member of the box C/D class. The record is from Rfam. NCBI's taxonomy places the organism in Eukaryota, Oomycota, Peronosporomycetes, Albuginales, Albuginaceae.
AAGACCGUACUUGUACAGGAUCAUUUCUACAGUACCUUCUUUCUACUUGAUUUUUCAAUCAAGAAACUACCAGUAACUUUGAUGAUCGAAUAAGACUUCUUGAGUUGAAUUGGGAUGUAGAUUCUGUGAAUUGUAUUAUAUACGAUUCAUAUAAUUAUUGAUGAACGUCCGCUGUCGUCAUUCCAAGACAGUGUGAGCUCUUGAAGUAGUAUGAGAAGU